CCUUAUUGAAGUCACUCAAAAUAAUAUUUAACAAAGUACGCAGUAGCAUGACAAUCCGCUAAAAGUAUACUCAGCCCGCCAAAUUUAGCCAACAGCUUUCCUUUUGGAAGCCGCACGUUGGUCUAUACACGAAUAACAACUUCCUUGUGUUCGAUAUAUAAAAUAAUUGUGUGACGAAAAUUUUCCCGGGAUGUGGUGUAUCACAAUAUUAGCCCUAUACAACCAAAACUGGUUACGUAUCUAUCGCGUUAGAAUCAGACUUUAUGUCGCUUAUGGCGUGUUUCCAGUACAUGAUGUCAAAAGAAAUGGCGCAAUUGAGCGAAGUUUGUCAAUAUUGUCCACCUUAAAGUCUACAUUAAACACGACGGGCUCUUGCCAGAACCUAAUGGCUGCAAGCCAAGACAGAUGUUCUAUAUAACCUAUGUCGACUUACUCGUGUGCCUGAAUAUAAACCUAAAUCCUGACCUUCAGCAGUUUGAACGGUCAAGGUGUCUGCUUGACGUCAAAUAGCAAUUUUCGUAGUUCGAUCGAAUGACGUCGUGUCCGCCAAAUAACAGGUAAGUUAAAAUGAUGCCUAGGAGGGGCGCUAAGCCGACUUCAUUUGAAAAUGUCGUAUCGUAAUAUGAAUGAUAAAUAUUUGGGGAGGGGGCAGAACAAUAUUUCCGGCAGGUAUUGAUUAGGCAGGUAAAGUAUUCCUUUAAAUAUACUGCAUAUACAGUUAAUGUGAAUUAACUCACUGAAGCCAAUCACGUAUUUUACCUGAAUAUCAUUUAUCAGGUUCCAAGUUGAUAAACAACGCUUAAAGCAUUUGUAAUAUGGUGUUACAGCAGCUAAUCUAUCGUAAUCGUGAACCCUGUUGAAUGGAAAGGGAACGAAGGUCCUGUAUUACGUAUUACAAUCGAUAUUUUGAAAUCUGUGCGUUACGCGAUUUUUGACAAUAUGCUCAAAAAAGAUGUCCCCGCACAUUUUAUACGAUUUAAUUUACAAAAAAAAUACAGUGAAAUUGCUCUAGCCCCGUUGUACAAUCGAUAAAUCGACCUAGAACACCAUCCUGAUUGACCUUCGUUGGCCCUGAAUAUAGCAUAAAAAAUAAAAUAGUUUUUACGUUUACCUGUCGUUUUUCCAGAAGCUCCCAACGACCGAUUAGAUGGAUGCUCGACGACAGUGAAAGCCUUUAUUUUAUAUACAUACACUUUAAAGCAACGAUCGAAACGAAUGUUGAGACAUCGAUCAAUAUAGAUAGAAAACAAACUAUAGGUCUAAAUGGUGUAACAUAAACUGAAGUCUGUGGCAAGAUAGAUGAUCGUUACGUAUCUAGAAACUGCAAAGUAUCUAUCUAUAAAUAUUUCUUGACUCUUGUUUACAUUUCAAAUACGCCAGUCUUGGUUAAGCUAUGCUUUUUUGUAGGACAUUUUCAAGUUAAUAUCGCUUACCAAACGAGCCUGACUUCGCGAAACAUCGCUUAUUAGACCGCUGCAUUUAUUGGUUCUUUCCGUACGUUCCGUAACGACAUAGGUUACAUUAAUUACAGACGGUUCAGCUGAAGCGAACGUUUUUUCCUUAAAUCGAUGAUAUAGAAUCAAGUAGGGUCUACGGAACUGCAGCGCAAAUAGUAGAAGUGUUUUCAACUAAGCCUGCCUUCAAAAUAUCUGUGAUAAAAUAUAUAGUAUUUCGCAUGUAUUACUUCAGAUUCCCCGAACAGUCAGUACCAAUUUAACCGACAAGUUGCCUCAUCGCGAUCUCCCGGAACACGAUCCUGCAUAUUCCUAGAAGAGACAGCAUGUGCCUCAGAUUACAUGAGUUGGGUAGGAUAGCACACUUUGUGAAUAUUUAGGAAGACGUAUUCGGAGUGAACUAUGCGAUAGGAAUUGAGAAUUCAUUUGGCCCGUAUAGACUUCUUCAAAACGUCUAUGGUUGAAUGUAAAAGUAAAAGUAUUACUCAAACACUUAUAGAAAAAAACGUACACCGCCGCGGACGAACAGCGAAGAAAAUGUAUAGAACAGAGAGCUCAAACAAUAUAAUUCAGAACUGUCCAUGAACCUUAUAAUGUAUGAAUUUUUCUAACUGGAAUUGUACCAAAAUCGUAUCACGGAGCUACUGCUCAUAUUGCAAUUUCAAUAUUGCAGCUAUUUAGAACUGUUUCUAUAUAAUAAUUGUCCUUAUGCCAAGAGGUAUUAUCUAAUACAUCUCGGUAUGUUUGUUAUUAUAGCAUAACCUUGGCUGAGUAAAGUCGUUCAAAAAUACAGAUUAACACAGCAGAUCCUCAGUAAUUUACUAAAUUAUAGAAAUACACUAUUUUCCGGAUACCUGAGUUUUGAUUUAUAUAUAUAUAUAUAUAUAUAAACACUUUAAUGAGUUCUCAACACAAAAGAGGUGCUAGUUACAAACACCGACAAAAUAAAGGUUACGUUUCGCAACA
Long non-coding RNA from Varroa destructor (honeybee mite), 2420 nucleotides. The record is from RefSeq and is a predicted model, not a curated record. NCBI's taxonomy places the organism in Eukaryota, Metazoa, Arthropoda, Arachnida, Mesostigmata, Varroidae.